Molecule: transfer RNA, 77 nt
Filed under: Candidatus Glassbacteria bacterium GWA2_58_10
Lineage: Bacteria; Candidatus Glassiibacteriota
Also listed under: 1 other name
Description: tRNA-Val
Rfam family: tRNA
About the family: Transfer RNA (tRNA) molecules are approximately 80 nucleotides in length.
Source: RNAcentral
GGGCGAUUGGCUCAGCUGGCUAGAGCGUCCGGUUCACAUCCGGAAGAUCACUGGUUCGAAUCCAGUAUCGCCCACCA